Molecule: long non-coding RNA, 324 nt
Organism: Drosophila mojavensis
Lineage: Eukaryota; Metazoa; Arthropoda; Insecta; Diptera; Drosophilidae
Exons: 3
Source: RefSeq, a predicted model, not a curated record
GCUGUCAUGGCAGCAGCAACAGCAACAGCAACAGCAACAGCGACGUCGUACUGUGGUUUAAUGUUGCAGCUAAAGCUGAGUUCAUUAACUGCUGAAUCACUGUGCAACUGACAACCAGUUUCCAUCCAUUCACAUGGACAUUGUUUGUGGAACAAAUAAAAAACAUUGCAGACUUUGCGGCAGAAUAGAACUUUAUUUUGAAAUCGCGUAUUUCAGAAUGGCGUAGCAUACUCUUAUGCGCAGCAUUUUAAUGCACUUGGACAGGAGCAAAAUUUACAUAAUUAGUAUAAAUAAUAUAAUAUAUAUGUAAAUAAUAAAUAUUUU